AGUGAACGCUGGCGGUAGGCCUAACUCAUGCAAGUCGAACGGCAGCACAGUAAGAGCUUGCUCUUACGGGUGGCGAGUGGCGGACGGGUGAGGAAUACAUCGGAAUCUACUUUUUCGUGGGGGAUAACGUAGGGAAACUUACGCUAAUACCGCAUACGACCUACGGGUGAAAGCAGGGGAUCUUCGGACCUUGCGCGAUUGAAUGAGCCGAUGUCGGAUUAGCUAGUUGGCGGGGUAAAGGCCCACCAAGGCGACGAUCCGUAGCUGGUCUGAGAGGAUGAUCAGCCACACUGGAACUGAGACACGGUCCAGACUCCUACGGGAGGCAGCAGUGGGGAAUAUUGGACAAUGGGCGCAAGCCUGAUCCAGCCAUACCGCGUGGGUGAAGAGGGCCUUCGGGUUGUAAAGCCCUUUUGUUGGGAAAGAAAAGCAGCAGGUUAAUACCCCGCUGUUCUGACGGUACCCAAAGAAUAAGCACCGGCUAACUUCGUG
This 492-nucleotide ribosomal RNA is filed under the name uncultured bacterium. Its description in RNAcentral is "partial 16S ribosomal RNA". It matches the Rfam family "Bacterial small subunit ribosomal RNA", at positions 29 to 507 of the family's 1533-position model. The record is from RNAcentral.